Molecule: unclassified non-coding RNA, 324 nt
Filed under: soil metagenome
Description: partial contains 5.8S ribosomal RNA, internal transcribed spacer 2, and large subunit ribosomal RNA
Rfam family: 5.8S ribosomal RNA (bases 1-120)
Source: RNAcentral
GAUGAAGAACGUAGCGAAAUGCGAUAAGUAAUGCGAAUUGCAGAAUUCAGUGAGUCAUCGAAUCUUUGAGCGCACAUUGCGCCCUGUGGUAUUCCGCAGGGCAUGCCUGUUCGAGCGUCAUUUCAACCCUCAAGCCCCGCUUGGUGUUGGGCCCCGCCCGCUGUGGCCGGCCCUAAAGACAGUGGCGGCGCCGCCUGGCCCUCAGCGUAGUACAUCUCUCGCUCCAGGGUCCGGUGGCCGCCUGCCAGAACCCCCCAACUCUGUGGUUGACCUCGGAUCAGGUAGGGAUACCCGCUGAACUUAAGCAUAUCAAUAAGCGGAGGA